This 539-nucleotide ribosomal RNA is filed under the name uncultured Geobacteraceae bacterium. RNAcentral's name for it is "bacterial SSU rRNA". It matches the Rfam family "Bacterial small subunit ribosomal RNA", at positions 9 to 526 of the family's 1533-position model. Lineage: Bacteria; Pseudomonadati; Thermodesulfobacteriota; Desulfuromonadia; Geobacterales; Geobacteraceae. The record is from RNAcentral.
GAGUUUGAUCCUGGYUCMKAACGAACGCUGGCGGCGUGCUUAACUCAUGCAAGUCGAACGUGAUCCGGAGCUUGCUCCGGUGAAAGUGGCGCACGGGUGAGUAACGCGUGGAUAAUCUGCCCUGGUAUCUGGGAUAACAUCUCGAAAGGGGUGCUAAUACCGGAUAAGCCUACGGACUCUUCGGAGUCUGCAGGAAAAGGUGGCCUCUAUUUAUAAGCUACCGUAUCAGGAUGAGUCCGCGUACCAUUAGCUAGUUGGUGGGGUAAUGGCCCACCAAGGCUACSAUGGUUAGCUGGUCUGAGAGGAUGAACAGCCACACAGGAACUGAGACACGGUCCAGACUCCUACGGGAGGCAGCAGUGGGGAAUUUUGCGCAAUGGGGGAGACCCUGACGCAGCAACGCCGCGUGAGUGAUGAAGGCUUUCGGGUCGUAAAGCUCUGUCAGAGGGGAAGAAAUGAGACUGGCUAAUAUCCAGUUUUCUUGACGGUACCCUCAAAGGAAGCACCGGCUAACUCCGUGCCAGCAGCCGCGGUAAUAC